AGGGCGCCAUGAGAGUUUUACAAGUUUUACCGGCGCUUUACAAGUUUUUAUUAUUAUUAUUAUUAUUAUUAUUAUUAUUAUUAUUAUUAUUAUUAUUAUUAUUAUUAUUAUUAUUUCUAUUUCACCAGAUAAAAAGCAAAUUGAGUUGAGGCUUUGCUGGUUUAUGAUGAGGUUGUAUCAUUAUGGUAUAUGAACAUCUCGACCAUGACCAUAAUGGUUCCCAAUGAGACUGAAAGAUCCUUCUGUCUUUAAAAACGCCCUGGUGCCGUCCUCCCAAAACAGUGGACACAGAAUUGCUGAAGAAAUUGUUUAACUAUACAGUGUAAUGAUCAAAGAGAAGAUGACGAUCAAUUAUUUGAAGUAAAGGUCAUUUACAAGAUGGAAGGCAGCUGACUCGUGUGGUACAUAAUGCAAGAAUGCCUUUCAUACAUAAUCGAUAAAAGCUAAAAUGGUGCCUGAGUAUCAUUACCAAGCAAGAAGACUGUACAGGCCUUCCUGAUAAAUACACCAAUUCUUGAUGGAUUGCUGAAAACAACAAAGUAAAAGCUGUAAAACAGUAUAUUCAGUGAACC
Anneissia japonica is the source of this 572-nucleotide long non-coding RNA. RefSeq lists it as uncharacterized. The record is from RefSeq and is a predicted model, not a curated record. The transcript is spliced from 4 exons. Lineage: Eukaryota; Metazoa; Echinodermata; Crinoidea; Comatulida; Comatulidae.